RNAcentral lists this ribosomal RNA (502 nucleotides) under uncultured bacterium. Its description in RNAcentral is "partial 16S ribosomal RNA". It matches the Rfam family "Bacterial small subunit ribosomal RNA", at positions 30 to 523 of the family's 1533-position model. The record is from RNAcentral.
AUUGAACGCUGGCGGCAGGCUUAACACAUGCAAGUCGAGCGGGCGAGGUUGCUUCGGUAACUGAGCUAGCGGCGGACGGGUGAGUAAUGCUUAGGAAUCUGCCUAUUAGUGGGGGACAACAUUCCGAAAGGGAUGCUAAUACCGCAUACGUCCUACGGGAGAAAGCAGGGGCUCUUUAUGACCUUGCGCUAAUAGAUGAGCCUAAGUCGGAUUAGCUAGUUGGUGGGGUAGAGGCCUACCAAGGCGACGAUCUGGAGCGGGUCUGAGAGGAUGAUCCGCCACACUGGGACUGAGACACGGCCCAGACUCCUACGGGAGGCAGCAGUGGGGAAUAUUGGACAAUGGGGGGAACCCUGAUCCAGCCAUGCCGCGUGUGUGAAGAAGGCCUUUUGGUUGUAAAGCACUUUAAGUGGGGAGGAGGCUUACCUGGUUAAUACCUGGGCUAAGUGGACGUUACCCACAGAAUAAGCACCGGCUAACUCUGUGCCAGCAGCCGCCGUAA